RNAcentral lists this ribosomal RNA (39 nucleotides) under Rhizoctonia solani. RNAcentral describes it as "28S ribosomal RNA". Lineage: Eukaryota; Fungi; Basidiomycota; Agaricomycetes; Cantharellales; Ceratobasidiaceae. The record is from RNAcentral.
UCUAAUAGUCCAUUGACUUGGACACUAUUAUUAUGAUCU